Molecule: unclassified non-coding RNA, 230 nt
Filed under: Codinaea siamensis
Lineage: Eukaryota; Fungi; Ascomycota; Sordariomycetes; Chaetosphaeriales; Chaetosphaeriaceae
Also listed under: 2 other names
Description: partial contains small subunit ribosomal RNA, internal transcribed spacer 1, and 5.8S ribosomal RNA
Source: RNAcentral
UCUCCGUUGGUGAACCAGCGGAGGGAUCAUUACAGGACUCGCAAGACUCCCGUAAACCACUGUGAACUUACCUACAACCCGUUGCCUCGGCGGGUGCUCCGGGCGCGUCUUCGGGCGCUCCGGGGCGCUCCAGCCCGCCGGCGGCCCCUAAACUCUGUCUCUGUAACGUUGGCAUCUCCGAGCAGACUAUAAACGAGUCAAAACUUUCAACAACGGAUCUCUUGGUUCUG